Molecule: transfer RNA, 22 nt
Filed under: Osteocephalus taurinus (Manaus slender-legged treefrog)
Lineage: Eukaryota; Metazoa; Chordata; Amphibia; Anura; Hylidae
Description: partial tRNA-Gln
Source: RNAcentral
UAGAGAAAUAGGAGUUGAACCU